ACUCCUACGGGAGGCAGCAGUGGGGAAUAUUGCACAAUGGGCGCAAGCCUGAUGCAGCCAUGCCGCGUGUAUGAAGAAGGCCUUCGGGUUGUAAAAGUACUUUCAGCAGUGAGGAAAGGUGGAGUCGUUAAUAGCGGGCCCUCAUUUGACGUUAGCUGCAGAAGAAGCACCGGGCUAAACUCCGUGCCAGCAGCCGCGGGUAAUACGGAGGGUGCGAGCGUUAAUCGGAAUUACUGGGCGUAAAGCGCAUGCAGGUGGUUUGUUAAGUCAGAUGUGAAAGCCC
Molecule: ribosomal RNA, 283 nt
Filed under: uncultured bacterium
Lineage: Bacteria
Description: partial 16S ribosomal RNA
Rfam family: Bacterial small subunit ribosomal RNA
Source: RNAcentral